Long non-coding RNA from Siniperca chuatsi (mandarin fish), 343 nucleotides. RefSeq lists it as uncharacterized. The record is from RefSeq and is a predicted model, not a curated record. NCBI's taxonomy places the organism in Eukaryota, Metazoa, Chordata, Actinopteri, Centrarchiformes, Sinipercidae. The transcript has 3 exons.
GAGAGAUUUAGAAGAAGAAUUGAGAGACUCAAACUUCACCAUAGCAGAUGCGAAAGGAGGCUUUUCCAGACAGCUUCAGUGCAGGUCCAGAAGGCGAUGGCUGUGAUGCCAACACAGUUGGACUAUAUCCAUGAGGAGCCAGAGUGGGAUUCCUUUGGAUCCGAAUUAUAUAGCCAUACAGGAUCGGACCUAGAGUACAAGCCAACUCACACUGCAUCAUCAUCCAGUGAUGAGGAAGAUUUGAAAAGCCGAGACAAACACAAGAACCUCAGAACUUAUGUGAAAAGACAAAAAAAACAAAAGACGAACAAAACAAAAUCAACUGUGACCAUAAAAACUUGUA